This 1388-nucleotide long non-coding RNA is filed under the name Nicotiana benthamiana. RNAcentral describes it as "long non-coding RNA (NBEN_LNC004672)". Lineage: Eukaryota; Viridiplantae; Streptophyta; Magnoliopsida; Solanales; Solanaceae. The record is from RNAcentral.
AUUUAUGUGACUGACCUUCAAUGAUUGGAGCAGGGAAACCUGAUGGUACAGGAUCAAGAAUGGGGACUUCAAAUAUUGGAAUGAGUUCAGUCGGAAUACCUAUAAGGGAGCUCUUAUCACAUCACUCUACUUCAGCAGAAAACAUGAGAAGUUUCCAGCGUAAGUAACUGAUACUGCUCCUUUUCCAAUUUGGAAGCAUAAACAUUUCAAUCAGUGACUAAUCACCUAUAAGGGAGCUCUUAUCACAUCACUCUACUUCAGCAGAAAACAUAAGAAGUUUCCAGCGUAAGUAACUGAUACUGCUCCUUUUCCAAUUUGGAAGCAUAAACAUUUCAAUCAGUGACUAAUCACCUAUAAGGGAGCUCUUAUCACAUCACUCUACUUCAGCAGAAAACAUAAGAAGUUUCCAGCGUAAGUAACUGAUACUGCUCCUUUUCCAAUUUGGAAGCAUAAACAUUUCAAUCAGUGACUAAUCACAAGAUAAUUGUGAUCAUAUCACCAACUGUAGCUCUUUUUCAUAUGAUCCACUCAAUCUGGCUCAUCUUAUUGACCACUGAGAGAAAAUCCUCUAGCUAGCUGACCAGUCUUCUUUACCUUUUUAGAUAAAUUGCUUAAACCCCCCAACCCCCCACGCCUUUUUUCCCUCUCUUUCUCUGAGUGCCAUUCUUUAGUCAAGUUAAUGUAGUCUCAAAUAUGACAACCCUUUUGGUCCUUAUCUGCAGUUACUAUGGCAGUGGUAGAACUUUUUUCAAUCUCUCCUCAUCUUAUCGAUCCAUCCUCAACAAGGAAUAUAUAUAUAACAUGCUGCAAGAAUUCUUUUACUGUUGUGUGCUAGGAUGAGGGGAAGAGGUUCUGGUCUGGUAGAGGGUUAAAACUUUUUUACCUUUUGUUCUGCCAAAUGACAUUAUACUUUCACUCAGCGUGAAUAUGCUUUGGCAAAUAUAACUAUGAGAGCAGGGAGAUACGACACCUUGGCUUGACAAUCAUUUUCUUUUCGAUAUGCAGAACUAGAGAAACUUCGCAUCCUCUUGAUUGUUUCAGGGUAUUAUGAUGCAGAGAAGAGCUUCAAGGUUUAGUGGCCUCCUCUUUGAAUGCUUGCUCUAAUUUUGAUGGAUCAAGUUGCUCGAUGUUGUGUCUGACAGAUUAUUCUACCUUUGUGUUAUACUGUUGCCUGGUGGCUUAUUAUUAAAUUUGUAUCUUGGAACAAUAUAAAUCUUUAUUUCUAAAUUCUCGUUGAGACUUAUUUUUAGCGGCUUAUUGAGUGAAGUUUUCCUUUUGUCUCAUUCAUAAAAGAAAAUUUCCAAUUUGUUUUCCAAUGCAGCUCUUCAUUCUGUCCUAUGCGCCGAGGGUCGCUUGGAAGCAGCCUCUCUGCCCUUUUGGGUAGGGGU